Molecule: ribosomal RNA, 846 nt
Filed under: Olokunia immersa
Lineage: Eukaryota; Rhodophyta; Florideophyceae; Peyssonneliales; Peyssonneliaceae
Description: eukaryotic LSU rRNA
Rfam family: Eukaryotic large subunit ribosomal RNA
Source: RNAcentral
ACCUGCCGAAUGAAUUAGCCCUGAAAAUGGAUGGCGCUUAAGCGGGCGGCCGACACCACGCCGUGUGACCGAGGAAUGAUGUCACAUGAGUAGGAGGGCGUGGCGGGCGUGGAGAAGCAUGGGCGCAAGCCUUUGUCGAACGGUCCGCUAGUGCAGAUCUUGGUGGUAGUAGCAAGUAUUCAAGCGAGAACCUUGAAGGGCGAAGCGGGGAAGGGUUCCACGCGAACAUUGAUUGGGCGUGGGUGAGUCGUUCCUAAGCCGAGUGGCAAUUGCUAAGUAGCGGCGAAAGGGAAGCGGGUUUAAAUUCCCGCACACGGAUGUGGAGAGCGGUGACGCGAAAUGGGGCGAACACGCUGGCGAUGGCGCUGGGCAGAGUUGUCUUUUCUGUUUGACUGAGUGUGUUGGCUGUGUGGAAUCCGCUUGUCGGGAGAAACACGCUGGCAUGGGCAGAGCGCCGGGGCUUAUCCGGCGUCCAGCUCGCCAUCGACGGCCCUUGAAACUUUGCCUGCUGAACAUUUGAUCCACGCCGUGGCGUACCGAUAACCGCAUCAGGUCCCCGAGGUGAACAGCCUCUGCUCGAUAUGAACAAUGCAGGUAAGGGAAGUCGGCAAAUUGGACCCGUAACUUUGGGAAAAGGGUUGGCUCUAGUGCUGCGUAGGAGUGGUUGUCUGUGUGUGGGGAUGCGGGCUGAGCUGGCUUGGCGCGGACGACUUCGCAAGAGGGAGUCUGUUCUGGGCUGUUCGGGCUGUGUCUGCGCCGCGGACGACGCCUACGGCAUGCAGCAGACUAGAACUGCAACGGGCAAAGGGAAUCCGACUGUUUAAUUAAAACAAAGCAUUGAGAAGG